Molecule: small nucleolar RNA, 65 nt
Organism: Camellia sinensis
Lineage: Eukaryota; Viridiplantae; Streptophyta; Magnoliopsida; Ericales; Theaceae
Product: small nucleolar RNA snoR101
Source: RefSeq, a predicted model, not a curated record
GGCUUACACUUGAUCUCUGAACUUCAGGUAAAUUUUCCUGUUGAGAAUUCUUGCCCACUGAUGCC